This 253-nucleotide ribosomal RNA is filed under the name uncultured prokaryote. RNAcentral describes it as "partial 16S ribosomal RNA". It matches the Rfam family "Bacterial small subunit ribosomal RNA", at positions 525 to 777 of the family's 1533-position model. The record is from RNAcentral.
ACGAAGGGUGCAAACGUUGCUCGGAAUCAUUGGGCGUAAAGCGCACGUAGGCGGCUUGCCAAGUCGGACGUGAAAUCCCUCAGCUCAACUGAGGACGUGCAUCCGAAACUGGCGAGCUUGAGUGCUGAAGAGGAUCGCGGAAUUCCCGGUGUAGAGGUGAAAUUCGUAGAUAUCGGGAGGAACACCAGUGGCGAAGGCGGCGAUCUGGGCAGACACUGACGCUGAGGUGCGAAAGCGUGGGGAUCAAACAGGA